AUUGAACGCUGGCGGCAUGCCUUACACAUGCAUGUCGAGCGGCAGCGCGGGGGCAACCCUGGCGGCGAGCGGCGAACGGGUGAGUAAUGCAUCGGAACGUGUCCUCUUGUGGGGGAUAACCAGUCGAAAGACUGGCUAAUACCGCAUGAGAUCGAGAGAUGAAAGCGGGGGACCGCAAGGCCUCGCGCGAGAGGAGCGGCCGAUGCCGGAUUAGCUAGUUGGUGGGGUAAUGGCCUACCAAGGCGACGAUCCGUAGCUGGUUUGAGAGAACGACCAGCCACACUGGGACGGGGACACGGCCCAGACUCCUACGGGAGGCAGCAGUGGGGAAUUUUGGACAAUGGGGGCAACCCUGAUCCAGCCAUGCCGCGUGUGUGAAGAAGGCCUUCGGGUUGUAAAGCACUUUCGGACGGAACGAAAUCGCGCGGGCGAACAUCCCGCGUGGAUGACGGUACCGUAAGAAGAAGCACCGGCUAACUACGUGCCAGCCGCCGCCGUAA
Molecule: ribosomal RNA, 500 nt
Filed under: uncultured bacterium
Lineage: Bacteria
Description: partial 16S ribosomal RNA
Rfam family: Bacterial small subunit ribosomal RNA
Source: RNAcentral